GCCCUGCAAUUACUGCAAGAACGAGAAGAAAGAGAAGUGGAGUGUUGGAAAAAUGGGAAGCGAUUCAGGUUUGAGUGUGCUGGAUGACUUAAGGGUAAGCAGCAAUUGAAAGAUAGCUGCGCAAGUUGUUCGAACUGGAAUGACCUUUCCGAGGAAGAAUACAACCAGUCCUCACUUUUGAGACAUAAUGUUCCAGACUGGUAGAAAUUUGGAGAAAAAGAGGGAGCAGGAGAGAGAACAGGGGAGAGAUACACUGAGAGAGAGGAAGAUCAAGAGAGAGAGAGAGAAGGGGGAAAGAGAACAGAGAAGAAAAGCAAAGGAGAGAGACAGAGUGAAAGUGAGAGCGAGGAGAGAGGGAGAGAGAGAGAGGCAGGGAAAGAGACAAAGCAAGUGAGAGGAUGGAGAGAGAGGGAGAGAGAUAAAGGGAGAGCGAGAGCCAGAUAGAAAGACUUCUGGGUCCUCUCACUCUGUCUCGUCCCUCUGUUUCGGAUGAUAAAUCGACGUCGAUGCUCGGCGGUCAGUGAAGUGGUCGUGCGGGGCUUUCUCCUCUCGCCGGAAGGUGAAGUUUUCCCUGGAAGCGCGUCUCUGCUGCAGUCGGCUGAGGACAGAGAGUGAUAGCACUGUGCUACGGCAGACUGCUGUGUCACGGAGCUGCUGCCUUCCACAGUUUGCAACUGGCAGAGUUCUGCCGGCUGCCGCUUUCCAGUCGCAUUGCAGCAAGACCGACGUGGGGAGAGGAAGACACAGAGCUGCGCGGACAUUUUUUUGGGGGGAGUCCGCCAUCGGAAUAAAGUGCCCUUCUUUUUUACUUCGAAUGUAUAUUCGGUCUGAGCUGCUUGCCAAUGACGGAAAUUAUUCCUGUGUGGAAAAUACCAGCCUAACAAAAAAAAAGAAGAGAACAAAAAAUUUGGAUUUACUCUUUGGAAUAAAACGAAUGCGGUGCAUAUUAUGGCGGGGCGUUCCGAAUGUCCUUUCUGACUUACGAGGAAACUACUUUGCCAGUGUUUCAGGGCUUAUACUGCACAGCGAAGCAAGAAAUGGAGCAGUACCUGUUCUGCUCACAGCCAGAAGGUCUCUCCUCCCCGCAGGCGCUAGGUGACUGUGGCCUGUCCCAGCUCUCCCUCCCGCCUGGCACCGCUAGCCGUGUUUGCCAUGCCUGGGUCAGAGGCAGCCUGGGCGCUUCUGCAGACCCAACAUGGCUUCCAGCGGAGGUGAAUUAGCACAGGCUGCGCACACAGACUGGCUGACCUACAUCAGCCGCAGUCCUGUCUGGAAGUGGAGAGAGCAGCCGACUGGCAGUGCCCCUCACUCACUCACCCGUAGUCAUCCUGCGCAGAGUCCUCAGGACAGCAGGCUCCUGUCCGUCUGCAACGGGGCGCAAUAAUUUGCCAUUUGCCUUCGUUCGUGGUCUCUGACCGCCUCUAGAGUCCAGAUCUCCAGUUGCCUUAUUUCCCCCCCCCCCCACCCCACCCCCACCCCCCAGCCUUCCAACACCACCCUGUGCAGCGGUUAUCAAUCACGCCGGCUGUAUUGCAUUUUCAUUGUGGAUUAGCCCGUCUGCGACACUGCUCUUAUCUCUCUGCACUGGGGAAAGUGUGAGGCGCUCUCUCUAUCAGCAGGGCUUAGCCGGCGCUGUCUGCUCAAAGCUGUGCAGGCGAGGGCUGGAAAACCGCACACAACAAAGGGAGCAGCACAAAGCGCGCGCGUCUCGUCUUCCUGCUGGAUUAUGGUAUUGCAGGAAGCGUGCUGCUGGAUUACCAUCUCCCUCCUCUGGCACUCUGGGGACCUUCUUCUCCCCUCUGCAGUCCAAGAGUUCAGCAUGAUUCUCUCAGCUACAGAGAACUGCAAGGCUGUGUUGCAGAUUGUAUCCAGCAAAGGGGUAACGUGUCACUGAAGUUCUCAGCCAAAAAUAUUUUGUGCGCGUGGAGCGGAAGGGGAAAGGGGGGGGGGGGGCGGCGGCAAUGGGGUGUUUUAUCAUGGUUACAUUAACUAUGGCUGCUCGCUUUCUCACCUGUGGCACCGUCUCAACAUACAGUGUGGAGCACGCGCAACACGCUCGUGUUGCUAUGCAUCUCUGCGUGAGGUGGUGGCUCUGGGCGCAAUGACAGUUGUGAAGAAAAGCCUUUUUGAAAAACUCUAUCUGUGAGAUUGUGAGGUGGGGGGGUGGGGGGGCAAUGCCAGGAACAUGACAAACUGCAAGAGUGCGCACCGAGCAAUAGAUCAGUGCACAGAGAGCUGAAUUCAGACGUCUCUUCCCCCACAUAAAGAAUCAGAUCUCAGGGUUCUAUUUCAAAUGCAGCACGCAUAAAUAAAUGCUGAUCAUAACCCGGGCCGUAGCCUUCCUACAAUGUUCUGCAUAUUAUGAGUUGUUUAUUUUCUGCAUCCUACCCAAUAAGAAUUGGUUAUCAAAUUUUAUAUUUCGACCAUCCCUGCUGGUUUCCAUAUAUGUAUAUUCAAUUCAUAUAUUUAUAUAUAUUCAUUCCUCAACCAUAAAUUUUCAAAAUGCAAAAUGUAAAAUUUGAUGGAAACAUAUAUGUUAAAUUACAGAAUGCACAGAGCAAAAUGUAUAAAAGCAAGAACAAGAUGUAAAAUUAAAUAAAGGAAAAAAAUAUGAGAGAAAUAACAGAUCACUUGACAGAAUUCAGGAUGGGUAGAGGAAUGUUAAAUCAUAAUAACAUCUAAAAAAACCAGACAUUGUUUUACACGUAUUUCUUUUGAGUCUCUCUGAAGGGAGAUGAGAAGACAUGUCACAGUAUUACAGAAAACCUGUCAACACAGGAGUGAAAUAUCACCGUGCAGGAAGUAGGGAGGUUUCACUGCAGUUGAGUAGCAGGAGUGUGCUUCCACACCAGGUCUGUUACACACAGAGGGACCACCUUAGUGGGUCAGGAGUGAGGCAUUGCAGUUAUUGGGUAUAAACAAAGCACUAUGCUUUUCUCAAAAAGACAUAAACCAAUAAAUAAAUAAAUGUUAUAAUAUAAUAUAAUGCAGGUGCUAAGCUCAAUCACUUUUUAUUUUUAUGAUUAUAGGUAUUGUGAGCUAUUGAGAGUGAUGCUAUGAUGCUAUUUUUAUAUCAUUGUGCUUUGUACAAGCGAUACAGUUGCUAAUUGCACUGGUUUAUGAUGCAACUUGUUUCCCUUCGUAAAAUGCAUCUGUUUUUAUUGUGUCAAAGAAUCUGCUAUAAACUGAUGAUGUCAUAAUUGAUUUUCAUUGAUUUGGCUAAUGCAGAGUAUGAAAUCAGUGAAAGUCUAACCAUCUCAUAUGUGCCUGCAUCCCAGAUCUGCCAUGGGAAAAUGUAAACUUGCUGUAGAAAAACCUUAUAUGAAUCAAGCCUCCAAAGGUUGGAAUUAGUGAACUGAGCCGACGUCAAAGGUGUCUCUGUCACCUUAGUCUCAGUGUGAUCCUUUCAAGAAUCAAUUUCUUCUUCUUUGUCUUCUUCUUCUUCUUCUAAUAGUCAUAAUAACAAUAACAAUAAUAAUAAUAAGGGCAGCAUGGUGGUGCAGUGGGUAGCACUGUCACCUCACAGCAAGAAGGUUGUGGGUUCAAAUCUCGGUUUGGGGCCUUUCUGUGUGGAGUUUGCAUGUUCUCCCCGUGUCUGCGUGGGUUUCCUCCGGAUACUCCGGUUUCCUCCCACAGUCCAAAGACAUGCAGGUAGGCUGAUUGGAGACUCUAAAUUGCCCAUAGGUAUGAGUGUGUGAGUGAAUGGUGUGUGUGCCCUGUGAUAGACCAGUGGCCUGUCCAGGGUGUAUUCCUGCCUCUCGCCCAAUGUAUGCUGGGAUAGGCUCCAGCACCCCCUGCGACCAUGCUCAGGAUAAGCGGGUAUAGAUAAUGGAUGGAUGGAUAAUAAUAAUAAUUAUUAUUAUUAUUAUUAUUAUUAUUAUUAUUAUUAUAAGGAUUUGGUAAUUCUUGUGUGCCUAAAACCCAGACAUAUUAUCUAUAUUAUCCAAGCACUCACAUGAUUUUCAAAUAUGGAAUGAGAAAUACAAUCAAAUAUCCUCUGUUCCUCCCCCAUCCCUCUAUUUUGCUGCCCAGGUACCCAUCCCCCUCUCACUGGGUCUCAUCUGAUUAUACAGUCAGCAUUCCCUGAAUGAGAGAUGCUAUCUUGUGACUAAGAUUGAGAAAUGUGUGUAUUUGCUGAGAGUCAGCCAACUAUCUAUAUAAAACUGCUUCUGUUUAGUGCUGGUAGUGAGGGAUCAUGAAUUGUAUUAUGGGUGAAGCUGGACCAAUCAUUGACUCAGAUGCAGUUCUCAAAAGUCAUGGUAAGUAACAUAUGACCUCACUCUGCUAUCUCUAUCUAUUAAUCUAAUAAGCUGUGUUUGCUUCUCAGGUCACACAAAGCUUUGGACAUGUAUGUAUAGUAACUGGCCAAACAAUAAUUAAUGUUUAAGCAACAUCUGCGUGGAUAUAGUGUAAUAACAGCAUAGACCAUAUUCUUCUGUUUGUUUCAUAUUUAGGACCAGACUAUUUUGUAUAUUAACAUUUUUACAUUAAUUGUUUUCCAUUUAGAGGUGAUCUUACACUAAAGCUUCUAUCUCCAUACAUUUUGCCAUGCUUCUAAUAUUUUGUUUAACUUGGAUAAUUAUUUUAUUGCCAAAUAUUUACUGAAACUAAACCCUCUAGUCAACCAGUCUGAGACAGCUACUUCAACUUGGACAAGAGGAGCCAAGCUAAACAAUCCUUCCCAUAUGUUUCAGAAACAUAGAGUUCUCUGUCAGAUCUUCCAUUUUUGUAUACAGUGGCUACUUUGUCUCUUCUUGAAUACAUUUCAAAAAGAGAUGUGGGUGGCAUUCCUCCAAAGCCUCGUUUGUAAAAAUCCUUCUGUUCUCAAUUAUUCUGAAAUAACUUCAAAUGUACAGUAGGAGCAACCCAAACCCCCAAGACCAUGCAAACAGUUGCCCUGCCAUGGCAAAUAUCAAUCCCUUGAAUGUUGCUGGCAUUGAGGGCCAAAUACCAGGAUUGGAAUUUGACAGAAUUUCAUUUUUUUUAUUUAAAUUAAUUAAUUUAUUUUUGAACAAGCUCCUUUCCAUAGAUUUCUUGCAUUGGGACCGAUCCAAAAUGAAAAGAGAAAAAAGUUUUACAUUUUAACAUUUUAACUUUUUUUAAGUGUCUCAAUUGCUUCAAUCCGAUCAUUCAUAAUGACUUUACUGCAGGCCAGUGGACCAUAGAUGUCUCCAUUUGAACUUGAUCAUAUUUUAUUAUUAUUAUUAUUAUUUUUUAAAUGUUUACUUUCACUGAGCUAUUUCUAAAUUAAAAGCUAUCUACCUUGCAAAAUCAAGCUACAGAACAAACAAGGCUACUUACCUAUUCAGCAAUCUGACAUUAACUAAAAUAAUGCACCAUGAAAUUAGCAACAGCCUAGCUGUGUGUCUAUGAUCAGCUGACGGUAGCUUGUUCAACACAUUCAUGAAAGAUCUGUCAUGAAAACAGAAAGAUAACAAGGAAAGUUGUUUUUUUGUGUGUGCUCCAUUCACAUUGAGCAGGCAGGUUAAAACUAAAAAGAAUUUCCAAGGGCUUUUGGUAAUAAUGUUCAUAUUAAAAAAAUGUCCCAAGUCUUGAUGAAUUCACUCACAGCUAAUUAAUAAUAUUGUCGUUCCUUUAUUAUUCUCUCCGGCUAUGUAUGUGCAGCACGAUAUGUUGCUCCAACAUAUCGUGUACAUAUCUGUACAUCUUAUUUCUUAUUUCUAAUAACAUAUUUACAUCAUGUGCCUGAGAUGAAGCACAGCAGCUAAUUUCUACAGCAGCUAAUCUCCUUCUUAUUUCCCCUGGGUGAUUCAUUUCAAAUCCUAGUGAAGUUAAUUUGCCUCAGUUUCACCUGGAAUGAAAUGACAAUGACACAAAGCAUGUCUUCAUUCAAAUUAUAUUUAUUUUUGCUGUUUCUAGUAAUGUACUGUACAUCUAAGCGCAUUAAACCACUUCUUUCUCAGUUCAUUGUGUAGUUUUAUGUUACUCCUCAUACAAAUUCAUUCAUAAGAUUUCUACCUUACACUGUACAUAUGAACUGGUACAUGACAAGCUUAUUUACUACAAGGUCAUGUUCUUCAAUAGCAAAAAGAAUCUUUUUUUAUGGACUAGUGGCAAUAACAUGUAGUUUCCAAUGCACAUAAUCACAGUGUUAAGGCUUCUGUGUUACCAUGUAAACAGGCUAUACUAUUCAUGCCGAGCGACUUACACAACAUUUACAUAGCAUUUACUUUGCAUCCAUUUAUACAGCUGGAUAAUCAAGCAAUGCAGGUUAUGUACAUUGCUCAAGGGUACAACGGCAGUGUCCUACCUGGGAAUUGAACCUGUGACCUUUAGUUUAUAAGACCAGCUCCUUGCCCAUUAUACUACACUGCCCAUGUGUAAAUAUGGUAUUUUCAUAAAAUAUACUCACUCCUUUAAAUCUUAAUAAAACCGUAUUGUCUUUAAAAAAAAUGAAUACUCUGUAUAGCACAAACUACCUGAAAGUAUGGCACAAAAACUGUAACAUUUUCUCUUCACUGGAUAUCGAUGUACUUCCCUAGCUUGCACCAUGUUUUAAAAUCCCGAGACAGAAAUGGGUCUAAAAAGCCUGCUCUGAACUCUCAGUCAUUUCUUCUGUUAUGCGUAUGUAAAUAACAGGAUGAAAUUAAAUCUGAUUGUGAUUGUUCCAGACAGUCUCAAUCUGCACAGGAGUGAUACUGCUGUGUGUGGUGGGUGUUUAUAUGCAUAUAUGUACUCACCAAAAAGAGAGAAAAAAAGCAUCCCCUGAUCCUGUUUAAAAUGCAGAACUUGUUUAAUGAUUGCCUUGGCUCACAGCCCCAAACGGUAUAAAGCCCAUAGCAACAGCUAAUACAGAAGCCAAUUCUCAAGAGGCUUAAAAAAUGGAUUUUGUUCAACUCUCAUUACACAUUUUGUCACUUGAAAGUGCUGGGUGUACCUGUUGGGAACAUUUCUAAACCUAGUGUGUAGAUGGAUUAUUUUAUGUGAAGCAGCCAAUUUUCUGUCUUACCAGGCCAUUGUAUUUGUGAGUUUUGGAAUUACCAAUAUGGAAAAAAAUUGUUGAUAUAAAUACAAAUAUUCCACGGUUGGACAUGCUGACAACAGAAUUAGUUCUCAAACAGUGCAGGCAUUAACGCUGCGCUCUCACUCCAGUACUGAAGUUGCACAACAUAGUUCUGUAAUCUCUCUCUCUCUGUAUGAAUCACACUUCCCUCUCACUUCCCUGGCUGCCAAAUGAUAAACACGACAAGCGCCUGUGCCGCUGAUGGACUGCACAAAAUUAUCUUGUAGAAUACAACAACAGGUUGACUCCUCAGGGAAGAGAGAGAAUGUGUGAGAGAGAGGGAGAGAGAGGGAGGGGGAGAGAGAGAGAGAGAGAGAGAGAGACGCACACACUUUGAGAACUAGUCUGGAUUCUUUCACACUUCUCAGUUUACACUUAUCAUGCAUCAAGUGUCCUGACAGCGUCACAGCCAUUUCGUCCCAGAUGGUCUUAUUAUAAAACUGUUGUCAUUAUUACCUGAGCCCUGAAGGCUUGCUGGAAGAACUUCAGACAGAGGCAUGCUUGGUGCACUGGUGUAAUAGAGAGGGGUGAUAUCAUUGGGGGCUUCUGUUGGAGUGGCAUGACUGACUAACACAACACAUGCCAAAUGGAGAUAAUUCAUGCAAAAGCUUCACACUGGUAGCUUUAUAAAAAAUCUGUGUACUGGUUUAUAAGAAUGAAAUACUGUUUUCAGAGUGUUUUGUUAUUAUUAUUAUUAUUAUUAUUAUUAUUAUUAUUAUUUAUUGGUGUGAUGCUACUGCUGUGAACUUUUUUGUUUUUAUUUUAAUUCAUACACUUCUAAUUAUUCAUAUUGUCAAUCUCUUCUAGUGCUUAGGGAAAGUCUCAGUGAAGGCCAAGGUAAUAUUUACACAAGCUAUGAACCUGCAAGCAUGGAGCACAUUAGCAUUACAAUGAAACAGUGACAAAAUACUCUAGUAGAUAUGCCACCGUUUGACUUGUACACGCAGCAAGUGCACUGGCUCAAGAAAUGUGACAACACUGCAACUGUUUUUUCCCCACCAAUCACUACUGUGGACCCACGUGGAGUAGGGUUUGAAGAUAUUACCUCUGGACCUGAGACUCAGCAAGAGCUGAAAUCCAGGUGGGAGUCUGCUGCUGCCACAUCCCUAAGCAAGCGUCUGUGAAAAGUGACUCGCCAAGCUCCGACGUCGCACCCGACUCCUCAAGGGCCAUCGUGCAUCCGUGAAAAUUGAAAAGCUGCAAGAACAAGAACGUGGGUGCAGGAAAAGCAACGAGCAAGCAACGUGUAGCUCAAUAUGUCCAAAGCCUUUUAUACAAUGCAUUUGUUUGCUUGUUGACCAGUCAGAACAUUGUUUGAAAUAAUUCCAGUAACUACCUCCAGCUGAGUGUAUACAACAUUCCUUGAACAUCCUAUGUGUCCUCUUCAGUCAAUGAAAUUGAUGUGAAAUGCGAAGUAUGGACCAUUUCACACAAUUCAUAUAAUGCUGUCACUGAAAACCAAAUAGGCGCUCAGAAUUUGAAUCAAUAGCUAAAAGACGCACGUUUAGUGCACUAAAGCUAUACGCUGCAGAGAGCAGACUGUGAACAAACUGGUGCCCUGGCUAAAGACACAGUGUGCUUGCGAGAGUCAAAAGAUCGAUCGAUGUGGUCUGCCUCAUGUCCACCACUGCUGUCAAGGUGAUUGGUCAGCAUCAGUGGCGCAGACUGAUUUUGGACACUACAGUACUGAUCUUACUGAAUUGAGAUGUAAUUGUAUUAUAAGUUAAUAUGUUAUAUCAGACAGAGAAAAGGGGAUCACUGCUCAGAAAGUGCUAUGAAAGGGGAGAGAAGCCUCAUAUAUGGCUCCAGAGUUGGCCACUCCACAGUCUGUGGAACACGUCUUGUUGUGCAUCGGCUGUUCAGGCGCUACUUUAACCACCAUGACAUGGUUGGGUGCAUGCAUACGUAAAUCUUUUAAUUAAAUGAAAUACAUUUCUUAUUAUUUAUUACUUACUGUUCAAAAUCAAGGAAUAUUAUUCCAUCUGAAAAUGAACUUUAAGACACAUGAGAAGUUUUUUUUUUUUUCCCUAUGAAGACAUUGUCCACAUGACAAAUGCUCCAGUAUGUUCAGACUGUUAUGUGUAUGUGUCCGUAUGUGCGUGUGUGUGUAGGGGGUGCUGUUAUUAUUAUUUUUUCAUCCGUCGUCUAUUAAUGGAUGAGAAAGUACCAUUAGCCUUUGUGGAGGGAAGGCAGCACUGAGACAUUAGCAUGAAAUUGGCUUCAGCCCCACUGCCCUUUUCAGCCAUGUCAAUCAGCGACUGGCUUGGAAGCUGUACACUGCUUCCUUUAGUGUGUCCAUUAUUCAACUUUCUUCUCUGUAGCCUUGGUUGUGAGUUGGGCUAUUUUUACUUCAAGGAUGAGAAACCAGCCUCAACAAUAAGAUUUUCCAAUCUGAUGAUUUAGUACCAGAAUGACAUCAGGAAAAACUAUGAAUACAACAAGAUAAAACAUAUAUAUACUGUGUAUGUAUAUAUAUAUAUAUAUAUAUAUAUAUAUAGUAUUUUUUUGACACAGAUUUGAUAAUAUAUUGACAUUUUCAUUACACUAGUCUCCCUGCAGUAAGGUGGACUGUGGACUGUGAGACACAAGGGAGCUAAGGAGACCAAUACCCUUCACACCGGCUUGUGCAAUAAACUGUCAAUUAGACAGUCCUCUCAUGGCGAUAUAUCAGGAAAGAUCAUUAAAUAUGUAUCCCCACUGACAGAGCGCCCUGUCUGGCUCAUCACGCGUGCCUGAGAGAGUCAUCAGUAUAAGGCUUCAUCAUGAGAUCAGCAAACAGGGGAACGGAUUGACGAACGACUAGCAGACUGCUGGCAGACAAGCAGGAUGCAAUCGCAAUUUAAUGACCUCAUAAAUUAUCUCACACCUAUCAAACAUGGAUGCUCUCUGAAAUGCCUUUCAGGGAUGUUGAGAAACAGGGCAGAUCUGAAUGCCCCCCCAUGUCAUCCCAUGAGGUGACAAGCACUACCUAAUCAGGGGGAAACUGGAAAGCCUCAGAAAGCAAACCAGAGACUACAGCAAUUUCAGUGCUGAAAACAUGUUGGAAUUUUGUUUUGGAGAGGUCUGCUAAAUCUGGUUUCCUUGUUUCUCAUUCCAGGAUACCUGUUCUGGUUUUUCCUCCAGCAGAAAAUUCUCAGAUUUAGGAUUUCAUCAGUGACUUGUUCAAGACAAAAAAGGACCACUGAAAGAGACAUCUUUAAGUGUAAAACCAAUGGUAAGAUUGUACAUCUAUUCCAUAUUUAGUUGCAAAUAUUGAUAGUAGAAAGACAUAGUAUAAUUCAACUGAAAUUCUUCUUGCUUUAUUCGGGGAGCAGUGUUUUUCAGCACUGUAUUGGCAUACCUUUGGGCUAUUAUUGGUUUUAUCUAGUUGCUAUGAUGCAAUACACAUUUUGCUGGUGAAAGAACAUUUUUAUGAACUACCAGAUUGGGGGGGUAUAGUUGCAGGUUAUGUAGAUGAGACUGCAGGGAAAAAGUGCUUGUUUUUCAACUAAGGUGCUGGUGGUUUCUUAUGUGCAUUUCACUGAAGGGGUUCCAUAGCUCGAGGACUCUGAUUACUUAUCUCCUUGCCCCUACAGCCAGGAAACCAAUUCUUCCCACUUGGCCCGACAGAUACCAAAUGCCUUGAUGUGGGUCCCAAGGGGCUGAUGCAACGAACAACCUGGCUAUCUGGCAACAGAGCAGAGGCAUUUCAAUGAUCCCUCGUUCCCUCCCUCCCAGGUGACGUGUCCAUGGAGAUUAGGAAGAACACGGGCACUGUCCUGUAACUCACUCAGGUGACAGCACAGGACUUUGGACACACUGUGGGCUGGAGUGUGGCAUCUUGCAGGUACUUAAGGCCCAGCAGCUCCACGCUUCCUGAAACGGGCAAGGUCCCCCUCCAAGAUACUCCAGUUUCCCUUGAUAGUCUUUUCAGUCCAGCUGGUGAUGGUGAGGUUUUAAUGACUGGAUUUGGUGUGGCCCACCCUGCUGAAGCACCUGCCUCUCGCCACAGAGGCAAGACACCAGGAUCAUCGUGCUAGGGCUAAAAGUCCUCGCCCUCUGAUGAUGUCAUCCCGGCGCUCAUUUGAAGAGCAGCACAGGAGUCAAGGAGAUGUUACCAUUGCUAGUGGGAAGGCUUGGGCGAGGCCGUUCAACGCUGCUACACCCAGAGCUCAUUUUCCCCAACGCAAUGCUCAGAAGCAUUCCUGACUUGUGUCAGAGGAGUGCAGAUGCAGCAUCCUGAGUGAGUGAACAAGAGUCCUGUGUGGUUGUAUCACAAACAUUGUUGGUGGCUGCUCAAGAGUAAAAUCGGCCCCCCUAUCACAAAGCACACUCUUAACAAUGUUGAACAAGCAUUCUCCUUGCCCUCUACCACAAAUCUGGCAUCAGCACUCAGUGGCCUCCCAAACCUGAUGAAAUGAUACGUUUUUAUUCCCUCAAUUUCCUUAUCCCGACAAAAGAUGGUGGCAUGAGUUUAAUAUCACAUCUGAGGGCAGUGACUCAUUAUUUAGUGAAACAAUGUUUUCAGAUGCUAAGACACAAAUGUGGAUUGAGCAUAAUCAGCCACUAGUGGGGACUAGUUAAUGCUUGUCAAUCGAAAAAGAUGCUUACUCCCAUUUGAACAUUGUACAGUGCCAUUGGCACCACCUUCGUUUCUCCUCGAACUCCUGUUCAGGCUGUCCCUAGUUCCCAGCACGUUUAAGAUGGUGGUACGUGCCCUAUUACUUCAGAAAGACAUGUAUGUUUUAACAUAUCUAAAUGACUGGCUCAUUUUAGCACCUUCUCAGGGGUUAGCUGUCAAACACAUCAAGAUGCUGGCAUCCCACAUCAAAGAACUGCAGUUCACCAUCUAUCACAACAAACGUCUUCUCACCCUGAGCCAGCCUGUUCAAUGCCUAAGCAUCAGGAGAGAACUGCUUCCCUGCGAGCCUGCGCUAGCAGUUUCUCCCAGGUUACUGCAUCAGUUGGAUCACGAUUAUGUGCCCGUUGGGACUAAUGGUAGCAGCAAUCGCUGUAGUCCCAUUGGGAUUGUUUCACAUGAGACUGCUCAGCCAACUUUGGCUCAGGUGAAUGAAAUUCACAUUCCUCAUAAAGGUGGUAUUGAAAACUUUGUAACUUGCAAACCACUGGAGAGCAUCCCUUAUCUGGGGUGACAUAGCUAGGAGGUAAGAGCGGUUGUCGGGCAGUCGGAGAGUUUCCAGUUCGAUCCCCCACCCUGGGCGUGUCAAAGUGUCCCUGAGCAAGACACUUAACCACUAAUUGCUCCCAAUGAGCUGAUUGGUACCUUGCAUGGCAGCCUUUCACCGUUGUUGUGUGUGUGUGAAUGGGUGAAUGAGUGGCAUCAAUUGUAAAGAGCUUUGGAUAAAAGCUCUAGAUAAAUGCAGUCCAUUUACCAUCUGACAGUUGUGCUGCGACCAUAUCCUGUGUUUAACCCUAAGAUUAUUACAUGUCCUUUUGCUUAUGUGUUUCGGACCUGGUGGCAUUUAAGCCCCCUCCUCAUGACAAUGCUGUUUUAUUAUUUAAUAGUUGUAACUUUACUUUAACUAAAGUAUGAUAUUUGAGUACUUUUACCACCACUGUACAAACCAGAGAUAAGAUAAUUUUGGCGUGCAUGCAACAGUGAAAUGGACAACAAUGAUAAUUUUAAGUAAACAAUAGACUAUCAACGUUUCUUUGAGUUUCUGGGAUUAAAAAUGACUAUGAAGUUUGCUGGAUUCUUGCAGUGACAAGCAGAGCUCCUUUUUCAUGAUGUGUGUCAUCUGUAGAUUUCCAAAAUGCGAAGAAGGUGAGGACCCCCAAGUUUGUUUUGCCACCCCACAUGUUACAAAAUAAGGAACCGUUGUCACUGAAACAUUGGCAUCAUAAAAUAGUUUAUAAUUUUAGAACCGUGAGUUGUAACACUUUCAAACAGUGUCUGGUAUGACCAGAUUGACUGAAAAUGUCAUUGUUGAAAAUGAAACCCAGGGGCUGGUGUGACUUAAAGGGUUAACGUUUCAAUUUUAAAACUUCAAAAAUAAUUUAAAUUGUCAUUACUUGAUGGUACAUUCAUAUAAAAAAAAAAAAUUAAAAAAAAAAAGUAAAACCUAAAUUGGAAACUGUCGAUAUCGAACUGAACUCGAAAAAGACUAACAGUCGCUCAACACUAACAGUCAGAUCAGCUGUUUUGUGUGUUAUCCUGUUGCUGCCUAAAGGAAAGUUGUUACAUCACACUGUUAUGGUUUCCCCUGGCUCACUGGUGCGAUUAACUCGGCAUACGAGAGUAUGGGCUUGUCCGCUCCGGUGGAGGUCCCAGCCACUCUAAAUCGAGGCUUAGCAGCAUCUCAGGCACCUUUUCUGGGGGUAAGUGUGAACAACAUUUGUACAGCGGUGUACUGGAGUUCACUGUGCGCCAUUGUACAGUUUUAUCUGCUAGAUGCGAUGACACCAUCGGUCGCAUAAGAAGUUUUGAAGCGCAAUGAUAUAUUGACCAUCUCAUGGCAUGGGUAUUCACUAUAGCUGCUUCACAUGACCCAAGCUCUGGGGGUGGUUAUGGCUCUUCGGUUUGUCUGGUCUGCCGGAAAAAGAGGGGAGCCCAACUUGAUUGGCCAUAACUUGCACUGUUUGUUUUUCUGCAUCAGGGGGCCGAUGCUGAUGACAGGGUGUGGGGGAUUGGGUUCACAUAUGCAGCUUAAAGCAAAGCUAAUAAAGAACCAGAACUCUAGGGUACAAGUGCCUGUUGUCCUAUGAGUUAUAAGCAAGCUUUAAGCUUUGCCUUGGCUUUGCCUUUGCUGAAUCUUUUCCUUUGCUGAAAAUUUGUCUCAAGGAAUGAUUGUGGGUUGGGAUGUCACUAAACAGCCACCAUAUGCAAAUGCUGUUGUAAGUGCAUCUUUGCCCUGGUUGACCAUCAAGAUGGCAGUCUUCUUCAGUCUCAAGAUUGAAUGAAAUCCAAUUCUCAUAAGCAGCUUAAAGCUCUCUAAGAACUCAUUGAGCAAUGGGUAAUUAUACCCUCGAGUUGAUCAAACAUUUUACAGAACAACAAGGAACCAUGUAUUAAAAAAUAAAUACUCACAGCAAGAAAUGUUAGUUUUUUAGCGCACAAAGAAAAAAAGAAAAAAUACAGACCCCAAGAAUUUUUAACUAUCAAACGAUUAUGAAUCACCAAACAAUAUAUGGCAGAAGAGAACACAUUUGAACUGUUCUAUAUGCCAGAGGCCCAGCUUUUUGAAAUUGCAAUUUUACCAGUGUCACAAGUGACCUGUUAUGUCACUAUUAUAUUAUAUUGCAUCCAUUUGUGAUGAAUUCAUAAAAUCAUUCGCAAUACCGUAGCAUUUUUGGUGCAGAUGAUAAUCAACAUAUUCAAAAAUGCAUCAUACCAUCUGUGGUUUAUUACUGUUGUUCCUAUAUUAUUUAUGGGAGCAUUGUGACCUCAGAAAGGUGGCGCAAGGGGGAACAGCAGACCAGGAGUCUCUACAGAGCACCAUUACAUUAAACUCAUGCAGCUUCCACACUGCCCGGUUCAUAUUCUGAGGGCGAGAGGGACUUCCUGUCACGCAAUGUUAUUAAACCCAGCUAUCUUUUAUGCAGAGGAGAUCGCUUCUGUCUGAUUUUGCUCAUAAAAUGUUAAUAGAUUCAGUAGAAAAAUUGCACUCUUUUAAUUUCAGAAGAAAUGCUUAUCUGCACAGCGUACUUGAUUCUGUUGCCGCAAAUGCAUUAUUAUUGCCUUAUGUAAACACGGCUGGUAUUUCAAAUGCUAAUUUCUAUUGUAUUGUGAUCUGUUUAAUAACAUGCGACCACCAUGUCUCAAAUGGGCAUGAAAUCCUUUAAGGUUUGAUUACAUGCGGGAAAGAUCUGUCCAUGUUCCUUGGUAAUAAUAACCCAUUCAUUUUGAUUCCUGAUAUUCAUCUACUUUUUCAAGAUAAUGAGAAUCUAAGUCUUCAGAUGAACAUAUGCCUAACAAUGGUCUUUGUGCAAACAGACACAGCAGCUUUCUCUCUCGUCUCCAAGAAGAAAAUAAUACAAAAACAAUAAUAAAUAAUAUAUAGAAUUCCUGGCAGUGCUCCAAAAUGGUCUGCUCUCUAGACAUCCGGUUCUCAAACCCAAAUGUGCAUGUUUCUUUUGAUUAUCACUACCCUCCAGUUGCUAUGCAACUGCACCUCCAGAUCCAGCAGUUCCCCACAGUAUGUGAGCACCUCUCAGUGUGCCCAAUAUUACAAAUUAGGCCUCCAUCUCUGACUGCGGCACUGCAGCUGGACCUCGGAAACAUGGCUUUUCCCUCUCGUAGUCUGGACGGAAGACGUGUGUCAAACUGUGAGAAGGAAUGAGCACUUGAAUGCUUCAAUCAAUAGCUAUUUUAAUUUGCUGUUUGGAUUAAAUGCAAAUUAUAUGCAGACUUCUGGGAAUGAAGAAAGUAGCACAUCACAUGCUUUGAUGGGCCAUAUUGAGAAAAAAAAACCUAAUUUACUGCAGCAAAUAAAAAAU
Long non-coding RNA from Anguilla rostrata (American eel), 15460 nucleotides. RefSeq lists it as uncharacterized. The transcript is spliced from 5 exons. NCBI's taxonomy places the organism in Eukaryota, Metazoa, Chordata, Actinopteri, Anguilliformes, Anguillidae. The record is from RefSeq and is a predicted model, not a curated record.